Molecule: non-coding RNA, 1721 nt
Organism: Danio rerio (zebrafish)
Lineage: Eukaryota; Metazoa; Chordata; Actinopteri; Cypriniformes; Danionidae
Source: RefSeq, a predicted model, not a curated record
UUUAUUUAUUUGCAUUUUGUUUUAAAUAAUCUGCAAGACUGUUUGUAGGUCGGUUUGACGGAAGAUCCUGCUGGAUUUUGUGAACUGGUGAAAACAGAUUUUCUUGUCUAAGUAGAGAGCCACAACGCGAUCAAUCAAUUCUGGAAUGGAACUGAAUCUCCAUUAAGUCACAUACUCUGGAAUAAAGUGCAAUAUGAGAUCAUUUCAUCACUGAACUGUUAUCAACAAAACACAGACAUGCGUGAAAUAAUGAAUGGGUGGAAAGCAGAGAAAUACGCUGAUUGGUCACAAGGGGCCGCUGUCUCUACACCAAAAUGAGAAGCUGCCAUCUCUGUUCUCUAAAGGAUGGACAUCACGCCUUGUCUUCAUAAACAGCCCUGAUGAAACAAAAAGAUGUGGAUGAAGCUUUAAAGGAGGCUGGUUUGCCUCUGUGGACCCCAGUUUGCCAAACAUAGAGUAGGGGCUUGUGGACUGUUCCCCUUCUCCUCCACCUGUCCAUGAGGAGGUGCCUUUAAAAAACCCUGCUUUCCCCUGUGCUAAUCAGAGCCGAUGCACCACUUGCCUUCUCUGUGUUCAGCUCUUUGUUUGUUUACCAAAAGAAGACGGACGCCAGUGUUCAUGUGCUGUUUCUGCUGCUAAAUGUAUGACUUUAACUACACAUAAGUGCUUCUACAGGCCCUUGCUUAGGUGUGGAGCAGUGUGCUAGUUUUGCUAGCUCCAUCCACUGCCAUGUGUUAUCAUUUUUGAAGUUGCUGUAUAAAUGUAUAAUAGUCAUAAACGCAAACAUGGACACUUUUGAGCGGCGUAGAUUACUUGUGUCUUUUCUGGUCCUAAAUGUUUGUGUCAUAUGAUUAAUUCCAUAAUUGUGGGUACAUUUCCAUUAAUUUUCCUUAAACUGGUUAAUAAAGAACUGGUCCAAAUUUAGUAAGGGAGCAAAUAUUUUCACAAUUGAUAUUUAAAGGGCACCUAUUUUACCCCUUUUACAAGAUGUAAGAUAAGUCUUUGUUGUCACUAAAAUGUAUCUGUAAUGUUUCCGCUCAAAAUACCCAUCAGUAUAUAAUGUAGAAUCUGCUCAUUUUGUUGUCUGGGGAGGAUAAUGUAGCUGUUUUUGCAACCUGUUGCUUUAAAUUCAAAUGAGCUGCUUCCCCCUGCCCACAUGCGUGUCUGCUUCUCAUGCUUUACAUCAGAUAAACAGUCGUCAGUGAUAGAGACAGACAUGGAUAAAGCUGAAUUAAGGUCACUAGUCAAAAAUACCAAGUAAGUUUGUUCAAUGUAUUUGUGGAGUCUAUUCACACGCAAAUGCUGUUUGCAGUACACACACACACACAUGCGCAUUUAUUGACACAAUGCGGACUUGGUGAUUAUAGAGGUUAAGAAUUAUAUAGUGAUUUUAUUCCCUUUAUUAAAAACAUGCACUGUUUUAAAACAUUCUAAACUUCUAAAAUUAUUUAUUGAGGUGCAGCUGAUCACACAGACUUGUAACAUGUUUAAAGAGCCCCUAUUUUGCAUUAAAAAAGGUCAUAUUUUGGUUUUAGGGGUCUGCAACAACAUGCUGAUAUGCGUGCAAGAUACAAAAUAUACCCACAAUUCUAGAAUUACUCAUAUGCUGACUGUUAAUGUUCAUCAUUAUAUGUGAAACAUUUUUAUCAUGACAUCGCAAUGUAAUGUCUUGUGUUAAGUGAUAGUUUACCAAAAAUAAAAGUUCUGUCAUCAUGCACUCA